UACAGAGGGGGCAAGCGUUAUUCGGAAUUAUUGGGCGUAAAGGGCGCGUAGGCGGCUUUGCAAGUGACGGGUGAAAUCCCUCGGCUUAACCGAGGAACUGCCUGUCAAACUGCAUGGCUUGAGACCGGGAGAGGUGAGUGGAAUUCCCAGUGUAGCGGUGAAAUGCGUAGAUAUUGGGAGGAACACCAGUGGCGAAGGCGGCUCACUGGACCGGUACUGACGCUGAUGCGCGAAAGCGUGGGGAGCGAACAGG
Molecule: ribosomal RNA, 253 nt
Filed under: uncultured bacterium
Lineage: Bacteria
Description: partial 16S ribosomal RNA
Rfam family: Bacterial small subunit ribosomal RNA
Source: RNAcentral